GAACAGGGCCAGGAACAGAACAGAAGGUGUCAGAGAAGGGACAGAGGGGGCUCCAGGUGCCCGGCAUCAAGUUCCUGACCCCAGGGGACACAGCAGUGCUCACUUGGGUCCUGCAAGAGGGCUUUGGCACCCACCUCCCAUCUCUGCAACGGGGCUUAAGAUCUGGGGCCCUGGGUGGGCGAUGACACCCUGCAGAGCCACAUCGCUCUCCGGCCAGCGAGGAGGGGGACCUGCUGUAGGACCGGGCAGCUGUGCCAUGUCCUCCCUCACACGCUGCCAGGUGCC
Molecule: long non-coding RNA, 285 nt
Filed under: Ictidomys tridecemlineatus (thirteen-lined ground squirrel)
Lineage: Eukaryota; Metazoa; Chordata; Mammalia; Rodentia; Sciuridae
Description: lncRNA (ENSSTOG00000030679.1)
Source: RNAcentral